Epinephelus lanceolatus (giant grouper) is the source of this 212-nucleotide non-coding RNA. Lineage: Eukaryota; Metazoa; Chordata; Actinopteri; Perciformes; Serranidae. The record is from RefSeq and is a predicted model, not a curated record.
GAAAAGGUGGUCAACAAAACAGAGUUGAGUCUUCUGAGCAAGUUUUCUCAUCGACAUUUUCGCGCAAAUCUGGACUGCCCAGUGCGUUUCUGCCAGUCUAAAUAUAUUAACCGACUCGACAAGCAUCUGCAAAGGAUCCACAGCCUGAAGAAGCCAAUGGUUAAACUGUACAUCCAGAAAGCGAAGGACAGAUACAUUGCGAGAGAACUGGC